AGUGGCAGACGGGUGAGUAAUGUAUAGGAAUCUACCUAGUAGUACGGAAUAAUUGUUGGAAACGGCAACUAAUACCGUAUACGCCCUACGGGGGAAAGAUUUAUCGCUAUUAGAUGAGCCUAUAUUAGAUUAGCUAGUUGGUAAGGUAAUGGCUUACCAAGGCAAUGAUCUAUAGCUGAUCUGAGAGGAUGAUCAGCCACACUGGAACUGAGAUACGGUCCAGACUCCUACGGGAGGCAGCAGUGGGGAAUAUUGGACAAUGGGCGAAAGCCUGAUCCAGCCAUGCCGCAUGAGUGAAGAAGGNCUUUGGGUUGUAAAGCUCUUUCGGUGAGGAAGAUAAUGACGGUACUCACAGAAGAAGUCCUGGCUAACUCCGUGCCAGCAGCCGCGGUAAUACNGAGAGGGCUAGCGUUA
This 414-nucleotide ribosomal RNA is filed under the name uncultured Wolbachia sp. Its description in RNAcentral is "bacterial SSU rRNA". It matches the Rfam family "Bacterial small subunit ribosomal RNA", at positions 94 to 543 of the family's 1533-position model. The record is from RNAcentral. Lineage: Bacteria; Pseudomonadati; Pseudomonadota; Alphaproteobacteria; Rickettsiales; Anaplasmataceae.